This 107-nucleotide small nuclear RNA is filed under the name Propithecus coquereli (Coquerel's sifaka). The record is from RNAcentral. Lineage: Eukaryota; Metazoa; Chordata; Mammalia; Primates; Indriidae.
AUGCUCGCCUCAGCAGCACACGUGCUAAAAUCGGAACGAUACAGAAAAGAUUAGCAUGGCCCCUGCACAAGGAUGACACACAAAUUUGCGAAGCAUUCCGUAUUUUG